This 533-nucleotide ribosomal RNA is filed under the name uncultured bacterium. RNAcentral describes it as "bacterial SSU rRNA". It matches the Rfam family "Bacterial small subunit ribosomal RNA", at positions 777 to 1305 of the family's 1533-position model. The record is from RNAcentral.
AAUAGAUACCCUGGUAGUCCACGCCCUAAACGAUGUCUACUAGUUGUUGGUGGAGUAAAAUCCAUUAGUAACGCAGCUAACGCGUGAAGUAGACCGCCUGGGGAGUACGGUCGCAAGAUUAAAAACUCAAAGGAAUUGACGGGGGGCCCGCACAAGCGGUGGAUUAUGUGGAUUAAUUCGAUGCAACGCGAAAAACCUUACCUGGCCUUGACAUGCCACUAACGAAGCAGAGAUGCAUUAGGUGCCCGAAAGGGAAAGUGGACACAGGUGCUGCAUGGCUGUCGUCAGCUCGUGUCGUGAGAUGUUGGGUUAAGUCCCGCAACGAGCGCAACCCUUGCCAAUAAUUGCCAUCAUUCAGUUGGGCACUUUAUUGGGACUGCCGGUGACAAACCGGAGAAGGUGGGGAUGACGUCAAGUCCUCAUGGCCCUUAUGGCCAGGGCUUCACACGGUAAUCAAAUGGUCGGUACAGAGGGUAGCCAAGCCGCGAGUGGAGCCAAUCCCGAGAAAGCCGAUCGUAGUCCGGAUUGCAGUC